UACGAAGGGGGCUAGCGUUGCUCGGAAUUACUGGGCGUAAAGGGCGCGUAGGCGGCACUGUUAGUCAGGCGUGAAAGUCCUGGGCUCAACCUGGGAACUGCGCUUGAUACGGCAGAGCUAGAGGAUGGAAGAGGGUCGCGGAAUUCCCAGUGUAGAGGUGAAAUUCGUAGAUAUUGGGAAGAACACCGGUGGCGAAGGCGGCGACCUGGUCCAUUACUGACGCUGAGGCGCGACAGCGUAGGGAGCAAACAGG
RNAcentral lists this ribosomal RNA (253 nucleotides) under uncultured bacterium. Its description in RNAcentral is "partial 16S ribosomal RNA". It matches the Rfam family "Bacterial small subunit ribosomal RNA", at positions 524 to 776 of the family's 1533-position model. The record is from RNAcentral.